Branchiostoma floridae (Florida lancelet) is the source of this 791-nucleotide long non-coding RNA. RefSeq lists it as uncharacterized. Lineage: Eukaryota; Metazoa; Chordata; Leptocardii; Amphioxiformes; Branchiostomatidae. The record is from RefSeq and is a predicted model, not a curated record. The transcript is spliced from 2 exons.
CAGCUUUCAAUGCCGCUUCAACGUCUCGCAGUGAUCCACGUAUGGCAGCUUGCACAAGACGUACAUUCACAUUUCCCUCGUUUCUCGCCAUUUUGUAAGAAACGCUGCACAUAUGUUGUCGCACCUUGCUCGUGUGCUGUCUGAGUUUGAACUGAAGAAGCAUGAGAAAAAGUUGUCUGGUCACGUGAGCUAUCGUCUUGUCACGUGAGCUGUUGUCUCGUGGAUAGAAUGAGAACGCAAAAGAUGAUGAGUUGUUUUUUCUUUCUUUAGCAUAUUUGUGCAGUAAUUGAUAAAAUCAAGACUUGAAAAUAUCUCUCGCUAAUAUAAAACGCUCUUCUGAAAAAUCUGUAAAAAUAAAAACUCAAUAUUCAUUUUCUAAACUUUUUCGUUCUCAUGUUACCCAUACGCCAACAGCUCACGUGACCAAAAAUUAGCUCACGUGACAAGACGACUUCUACCCAUGAUUCUUCACUUCAAACUCAGAUAGCACGAGCGGAAGGUGUCGACAACAGCGGUUCUAACAAAAUGGCGGUAAUAAUUGAGCCAAAUCUGGACCUAUUGUAUGCUGCCAUGAACGGAUCACUUCGAGGCGUUAAAGAGGCUUUGAAAGCUGGUGCAGACAUUGACUUCGAUAUAAAGAACUCUGAGACCUUCAGCCCUGGGACAGCAUUGUACAUUGCUUCCUACAAGGGGCAUGUUGACAUAGUGAAGCUGCUGCUCCGCAAGGGGGCGUCUGUGUCGAAGAGAACCAGAAGUUCAUUUGCUCCUCUCCAUGGAGCAGCGACCGAAGG